UUAACAGCCCUAGAGACUCAAGUGCUCUGUUUACUUUAGAUACACAAGUACAACACAGACAACAGUAGCACAGGCUAUUCCACACUGCCUUAUCAAUGUGCCUCAAUCCUUUUCUAGAGGGGCUGCCCCUUGGAGCCAAGGGCUAAGAUCAUUCACACCUUUCUGCUUAGUCUUUCUUAUAA
This 182-nucleotide small RNA is filed under the name Chelonoidis abingdonii (Abingdon island giant tortoise). RNAcentral describes it as "TUC338 (ENSCABG00000021724.1)". Lineage: Eukaryota; Metazoa; Chordata; Testudines; Testudinidae. The record is from RNAcentral.